RNAcentral lists this ribosomal RNA (429 nucleotides) under Actinomycetes bacterium. RNAcentral's name for it is "Actinobacteria bacterium partial 16S ribosomal RNA". It matches the Rfam family "Bacterial small subunit ribosomal RNA", at positions 355 to 776 of the family's 1533-position model. Lineage: Bacteria; Bacillati; Actinomycetota; Actinomycetes. The record is from RNAcentral.
UAGGGAAUCUUCCGCAAUGGGCGAAAGCUUGACGGAGCAACGCCGCGUGAGUGAUGAAGGUCUUCGGAUCGUAAAACUCUGUUAUUAGGGAAGAACAAAUGUGUAAGUAACUAUGCACGUCUUGACGGUACCUAAUCAGAAAGCCACGGCUAACUACGUGCCAGCAGCCGCGGUAAUACGUAGGUGGCAAGCGUUAUCCGGAAUUAUUGGGCGUAAAGCGCGCGUAGGCGGUUUUUUAAGUCUGAUGUGAAAGCCCACGGCUCAACCGUGGAGUGUCAUUGGAAACUGGAAAACUUGAGUGCAGAAGAGGAAAGUGGAAUUCCAAGUGUAGCGGUGAAAUGCGCAGAGAUAUGGAGGAACACCAGUGGCGAAGGCGACUUUCUGGUCUGUAACUGACGCUGAUGUGCGAAAGCGUGGGGAUCAAACAGG